UACAGAGGGCUCAAGCGUUGUUCGGAUUCAUUGGGCGUAAAGGGUGCGUAGGCGGCGGGGUAAGUCGGGUGUGAAAUCUCAGGGCUCAACCCUGAAACUGCACUCGAUACUGCUCUGCUUGAGGACUGGAGAGGAGACUGGAAUUCACGGUGUAGCAGUGAAAUGCGUAGAUAUCGUGAGGAAGACCAGUGGCGAAGGCGGGUCUCUGGACAGUUCCUGACGCUGAGGCGCGAAGGCCAGGGGAGCAAACGGG
RNAcentral lists this ribosomal RNA (253 nucleotides) under uncultured bacterium. Its description in RNAcentral is "partial 16S ribosomal RNA". It matches the Rfam family "Bacterial small subunit ribosomal RNA", at positions 524 to 776 of the family's 1533-position model. The record is from RNAcentral.